GAUGAAGAACGUAGCGAAAUGCGAUACGUAAUGUGAAUUGCAGAAUUCAGUGAAUCAUCGAACCUUUGAACGCAUAUUGCGCUCUCUGGUAUUCCGGAGAGCAUGCUUGUUUGAGUAUCAGUAAACACCUCAACUUCCAUAUCUUUUUUGAAAUGGGAGUUGGACUUGAGUGAUCCCAACGCUUUUCCUCACCGAAAAGUGGCGGGUUACUUGAAAUGCAGGUGCAGCUGGACUUUUCUCUGAGCUAUAAGCAUAUCUAUUUAGUCUGCCUAAAAACAGAUUAUUACCUUUGCUGCAGCUAACAUAAAGGAGAUUAGUUCUUGUGCUGACUGAUGCAGGAUUCACAAAGACAGGCUUCGGCCGACUUUGUAAACUCGAUCUCAAAUCAAGUAAGACUACCCGCUGAACUUAAGCAUAUCAAUAAGCGGAGGA
RNAcentral lists this unclassified non-coding RNA (432 nucleotides) under soil metagenome. RNAcentral's name for it is "partial contains 5.8S ribosomal RNA, internal transcribed spacer 2, and large subunit ribosomal RNA". The stretch from base 1 to 120 matches the Rfam family "5.8S ribosomal RNA", at positions 35 to 154 of the family's 154-position model. The record is from RNAcentral.